RNAcentral lists this ribosomal RNA (672 nucleotides) under uncultured bacterium. RNAcentral's name for it is "bacterial SSU rRNA". It matches the Rfam family "Bacterial small subunit ribosomal RNA", at positions 208 to 888 of the family's 1533-position model. The record is from RNAcentral.
GUGGGGCCUUGCAGGUCGACGAUUCGCGGCCUAUCAGCUUGUUGGUGAGGUAAUGGCUCACCAAGGCUCCGACGGGUAGCUGGUCUGAGAGGACGAUCAGCCACACUGGGACUGAGACACGGCCCAGACUCCUACGGGAGGCAGCAGCAGGGAAUUUUGCACAGUGAGCGAAAGCUUGAUGCAGCGACGCCGCGUGCGGGAUGAAUGCCUUCGGGUUGUAAACCGCUUUCAGGAGGGACGAAGCGAAGGUGACGGUACCUUCAGAAGAAGCCCCGGCCAACUACGUGCCAGCAGCCGCGGUAAUACGUAGGGGGCGAACGUUGUCCGGAUUUAUUGGGCGUAAAGAGCUCGUAGGCGGCUCAACAAGUCGGCCGUGAAAACCCGGGGCUCAACCCCGGGACGCCGGUCGAAACUGUUGUGGCUAGGGUUCGGUAGAGGAGAGUGGAAUUCCCGGUGUAGCGGUGAAAUGCGCAGAUAUCGGGAGGAACACCAGUACCGAAGGCGGCUCUCUGGGCCGAUACCGACGCUGAGGAGCGAAAGCUAGGGGAGCAAACAGGAUUAGGUACCCUGGUAGUCCUAGCUGUAAACGUUGGGCACUAGGUGUGGCGGACUCAUUGACGUCUGCCGUGCCGCAGCUAACGCGUUAAGUGCCCCGCCUGGGGAGUACGGAAU